Molecule: ribosomal RNA, 419 nt
Filed under: bacterium
Lineage: Bacteria
Description: partial 16S ribosomal RNA
Rfam family: Bacterial small subunit ribosomal RNA
Source: RNAcentral
UGGGGGAUAUUGCACAAUGGGCGAAAGCCUGAUGCAGCGACGCCGCGUGGGGGAUGAAGGCCUUCGGGUUGUAAACUUCUUUUGCUCUGAACAAGGCGCACCAUGGGGUGUGUUGAGUGUAGGGGUUGAUUAGCGCCGGCUAACUACGUGCCAGCAGCCGCGGUAAUACGUAGGGCGCGAGCGUUGUCCGGAAUUAUUGGGGGUAAAGGGCUUGUAGGUGGCUGGUUGUGUCUGUCGUGAAAGCUCAUGGCUUAACUGUGGGUUUGCGGUGGGUACGGGCUGGCUUGAGUGCAGUAGGGGAGGCUGGAAUUCCUGGUGUAGCGGUGGAAUGCGCAGAUAUCAGGAGGAAUACCGGUGGCGAAGGCGGGUCUCUGGGCUGUUACUGACACUGAGGAGCGAAAGCAUGGGGAGCGAACAGG